RNAcentral lists this long non-coding RNA (436 nucleotides) under Androctonus crassicauda. The record is from RNAcentral. Lineage: Eukaryota; Metazoa; Arthropoda; Arachnida; Scorpiones; Buthidae.
CAGAAAGAGAAAUUUGAUAAAUGUUUCGACUCUCACUAGAAAGAUAAAGAAAAAGAAAAGAAAAGAAAAUCUGAACAAAUGUGAGAAGAAAAAUGUAAAAAGCAAAAGCGUUACUUGCCAGUCGAUCAUUUCUGUUUAAUUAUUUUAAAAAAAUUAAUUCGGAUAUGACGUCACUAAAUGAAGCCGACUUUUAUUACCAGAGGGCGCCUUUCCACCAUGACAUAGUCAAUGCUUCGAAAGAGGAAGCCAUGAUAUUCUUCCAGCCAUCGAUUGGCAGAUACAAAUUAUCAUUCCGUCAUUUACAACACGAUAUAACUUAUACAUGCAUUUCCUAUUUAUAUCAGAAGCUUUGUCGCUAUUUUAAAGUCUUAUAUUGAAGUCAGUUUAACACAAAUAAAAAUUUACUAAAGCCAAAAUACUGUAAAAACAUGUGCCG